CAAAAGAAAAAUGCUGUGACCAGCGAGCCGCUCCCUCUCUCUCCUCGCACGAGUCGCGGCGCGCGCUACGGUUCCUCACGCCGCCGCCGCACACCUCCAUCCCCUCCCCAACCCCGGCCGGCCUCCACUCCACUCCACUCCUCCGCGGGGGCCACCCAACCACCGCCGCCCUCUCCACGCACCCGCACCCACUCACCCAACUCUCUCUCCGCCGCCGCCAUCUAGAUCUCGGCCGGUCGAUUCCUGCGGCGCGCAUCACACUCCUUCUGUGCUCGCCUCGCGCCGCUGCGUUCACCCAUCCGGCUGGAUUCGCCGCUCCCCGGUGGCAAGGGCUUCGGUCGCCUCCAACUCCGGCGACUCCGGCGGUUCAUCUCCGACGCGUACCCAGCCCCCACGCGCAGCUCUGUCUCCUGGAUGAAUUUGUCCUGCUCGAGACGACCGGUUCUUCCUCAAGCUCCAAGGACGCCCGCCAUCGUCGAGCCUCCCUCCGUGGGAUGCCAUGGAGAUGAAACUCCCCUCGACCAGGGUAGGAAUUCAAGGGCUUGUGGGAGAGAGAGGAGGUCCAUGGAGAAGAUGCUCUGCUCCAACCCUCCCUGCCUCCUACUACAAGAUGUCUUUUAUUGUGUGUGCUUGUAUUGCAGCAGCCAUCAGCAGCAGCAGCAGGCCGAGUGACGGUGGUGGCUGUGUGCAGGCCAUGGAGGCGAUGAUGAGCACGAGGGGAAGGCUGCUGCUUCAACCCCGUUAAGGACUGCUGCUUCGAAUUGUCCCAGAUCGGUCGAUUUCUUCUUGCUUUCCCGUUAAGGAUUUCUUCUUGAUGUUUAUAUUAUUGGAUUGCCAGUAUAUUUUGUAACCCGUGGAAUUAGUAUGACCUGCCUGGCAACCUGUAUUUUACUGGAGAAAAUGUUGAACAGUAGGCUUGUUAUUUUGAAUGCUUGCGGCAAAGGGAUGGGCUUGCACCCUUUUAUGUUCUAGACUAGGCAUGCUAAUGAAAACAUUCCCGUACAUGUAGGUCAUGUGCAUAUAAACUCCACUUCUUAUA
Aegilops tauschii subsp. strangulata is the source of this 1039-nucleotide non-coding RNA. The record is from RefSeq and is a predicted model, not a curated record. NCBI's taxonomy places the organism in Eukaryota, Viridiplantae, Streptophyta, Magnoliopsida, Poales, Poaceae.